Molecule: ribosomal RNA, 426 nt
Filed under: uncultured bacterium
Lineage: Bacteria
Description: bacterial SSU rRNA
Rfam family: Bacterial small subunit ribosomal RNA
Source: RNAcentral
GUGAGGAAUUUUCCGCAAUGGGCGAAAGCCUGACGGAGCAAUGCCGCGUGAAGGAUGAAGGCCUAUGGGUUGUAAACUUCUUUUCUCAGAAAAGAAUUAUGACGGUAUCUGAGGAAUAAGCAUCGGCUAACUCUGUGCCAGCAGCCGCGGUAAGACAGAGGAUGCAAGCGUUAUCCGGAAUGAUUGGGCGUAAAGCGUCUGUAGGUUGUUUAAAAAGUAUUCUGUCAAAGAUUAGGGCUUAACCCUAGAUAGGCAGAAUAAACUUUUAAGCUAGAGUUUGGUAGAGGCAGAGGGAAUUCCCGGGGGAGCGGUGAAAUGCGUAGAUAUCGGGAGGAACACCAAAGGCGAAGGCACUCUGCUGGGCCAAUACUAACACAGAGAGACGAAAGCGAGGGGAGCAAAUGGGAUUAGAAACCCGAGUAGUCC